RNAcentral lists this long non-coding RNA (712 nucleotides) under Carica papaya (papaya). Its description in RNAcentral is "long non-coding RNA (CPAP_LNC007412)". The record is from RNAcentral. Lineage: Eukaryota; Viridiplantae; Streptophyta; Magnoliopsida; Brassicales; Caricaceae.
GCCUGCCUCACCACACCCCAGUGCCGACAUAGCUCGCCCGGGGCACAUCACUUAUGCGACAUGUUGUGCUGUGAGGAUUUGUGAGGCGCACCCUUGUGCCGAGCGUGCCUUGUGGAUGGGCCUGUGCCCUGCCCCAUGGGCGAAGGCAAAGAGGGUUUACGCACACGAGGCCUGGAAGUGGCCCGACAGCCCUAGUGGUUUAUGGGCCCCAGUUGAGCUGAGUUUGGUAAUGGGCGCUUAUUGGGCUGGGUUUGUUAAUUGGCUCUUAUUGGGCCAGGUAGUGUAAUGGGCUGAGGAACUUUUAAAAAUGAUUCGAUGGACCCAAUGGGUCGAAUUGAAAUUUGUAGACCAAAAUUUGGUUAUGUUUUACAUUACGUUUAAAAUAACAAAGAAAGAUUUGAAAUUCAUUUGAUCAUUGUCACUGAUGGGUGAUUGAAUAUGAUUAUUAUUCACUCCUUAUGAUUGGUGCUGCCUUUUCCUUUGACGAGAGUAGAUCGCGACUAAUUGUAGGGAUUACAGUGACAAAGUAAUGUCAUUGUCAUGACAAAGUAAUGUCAUUGUCAUAGUAUCUGAUCAGACUACUGUAUACUGAAUUAAAUUGUUUUCCAUUCACAAUAGUAGUUGGUAAUCUCCUCUGCCCUCCAUGAUAUAAGUUUAAAUGUGUUCGCUCGAAAAUUUGUAAAUGGUGAAACUAAAUCAAGGAACAUGAUUG